This 544-nucleotide ribosomal RNA is filed under the name Bacillus pumilus. RNAcentral describes it as "bacterial SSU rRNA". It matches the Rfam family "Bacterial small subunit ribosomal RNA", at positions 96 to 628 of the family's 1533-position model. Lineage: Bacteria; Bacillati; Bacillota; Bacilli; Caryophanales; Bacillaceae. The record is from RNAcentral.
UGGCGGAGGGUGAGUACACGUGGGUAACCUGCCUGUAAGACUGGGAUAACUCCGGGAAACCGGAGCUAAUACCGGAUAGUUCCUUGAACCGCAUGGUUCAAGGAUGAAAGACGGUUUCGGCUGUCACUUACAGAUGGACCCGCGGCGCAUUAGCUAGUUGGUGAGGUAACGGCUCACCAAGGCGACGAUGCGUAGCCGACCUGAGAGGGUGAUCGGCCACACUGGGACUGAGACACGGCCCAGACUCCUACGGGAGGCAGCAGUAGGGAAUCUUCCGCAAUGGACGAAAGUCUGACGGAGCAACGCCGCGUGAGUGAUGAAGGUUUUCGGAUCGUAAAGCUCUGUUGUUAGGGAAGAACAAGUGCAAGAGUAACUGCUUGCACCUUGACGGUACCUAACCAGAAAGCCACGGCUAACUACGUGCCAGCAGCCGCGGUAAUACGUAGGUGGCAAGCGUUGUCCGGAAUUAUUGGGCGUAAAGGGCUCGCAGGCGGUUUCUUAAGUCUGAUGUGAAAGCCCCCGGCUCAACCGGGGAGGGUCAUGG